Molecule: long non-coding RNA, 2310 nt
Organism: Xiphias gladius (swordfish)
Lineage: Eukaryota; Metazoa; Chordata; Actinopteri; Istiophoriformes; Xiphiidae
Exons: 5
Source: RefSeq, a predicted model, not a curated record
CAGCUCAUUAACCACAGACAGUGGGUAGAGGAAGAAGAAGAAGGCUUGAAGAUUUUAAUACACGGAUAACAUCAAAUGAAAGCCGCUGCUGCAGCUUCGACUGCUGACCAGGUUGAUAAGCAGGCAGAAUCGGCAGCCGCACAGCAACAACUAAUCCCAUUUUAAAAAAGGCGGGUUACGUUUUUAUGGAGAGGUAAGUGCUGUGGCCAGGUGCAGUGACCUUAGCUCCAUAGUCACGGACAUGAACAUGCCUCUCCCAAAAUGCUGAACUGAGCUACCGCAGCUCCGGCCUCAUCGGAAAAUGAGGUCAGCCGGAUGGUUCUGUCAGUGCUCAACGGACACUGCAAAACAAUGGCGGACAACAAGCCCCAGGGGUUAGCUCUGGGCGCUGAAGAUCAUCGUGGGACUUGCAUGGCCCACAGAGCCCAGUCAGAAGAAGCAGAUGCAGUACAUGUCCCAGACAAAUUUUCCUUGGGACGAUACAGUUUAAGCCUAAUGUCAGUCUUAAACACACUGUGGUAUUGUACCCAAAUUUCGAGGACAGGCACAGAUCAACUCUGACUAAUCCUGUAAAGUUUGGAGGCAUACGGAUGGAGCUACAGCAGCAGGAUCAAUUUAAAUUUAAAUGUCAGGAUCUGCUCCACUCACCGACUCUUCGCCUGGACUCUUCCUGCUUUAUUUUGUAAUCACUUACCUGUUGUGGUUCUGGUUGUUUAACUUCCUGUCUUUGGUUUUUUUUUUCCCGCCUUUUGUGAUCGCUUGCCCCGCCCUAAUUAGUUUCACCUGUGUCCUAUUGUCUUCCCCUCACUAGUCUAUUUAAGUCUCUGUGUUCCCUCUGCUCUGGUUCGUCUGUGUUCGCUCCCUCAUGUUUCUCUGUUGUUGUUGUUUUUUUAAUCCCACGUUGGUUUAUCUGCUUUGUUCCUGGUUUAACUCCUCAGUUUUCCUCGUGUUUAUUUUCCUGCCACCUGGAUCCCUGUCUGCCAUCUUGUUUACCUGAAUGACUGUGGCCUCUGGCGUCGGAUGUGACUCCCCUAUUUGAUUUUUCUCCUGCCAUCCACUGACUCCUCCUCGAUGACCUGUGACCUCUGGAUCCUGCGUUAUGCUGUCUGUUUCUGGUGGCUCUUGUCCAGGGGCCUGCACCACAAACACGGGAUACCAGAAGUACGAGAGUGACUGACGGGAAUCUGUGAAUGAAGACUGACAGCAAGCGGGGAGCAGAAACGGCAGGAAAAUGGCAGUCUUUCUUCAGCUGUCACGUGACCACCUGCCUGCCGUGUGGGGCUCGGCUGACCAUUUGCAGCCACUGUGCAAUACUUAGAACGAGAUCUUAUUGUUUCAUAUUUUUCUCCGUUUCAUCUCAAAGUGAUUGAAAGAUGAAGAAAAGAAGAAAGAAAGUCUGACAGCAGCUGGAAAAACCGCAAAUUCACUCUGCACACUGUACACUGUUUGGUAAUUGUGUUUAUUCUGGCUCAACAUCUCUGUGAUGACUGUUUGAGUUAAUAAGGGAAAUCUAUUACCGCGCUCGAUCCACCCUGUUGACUUAAUGUGUCGGCGCGAUUCAAACAGAGUGGAGAGUUUAAAUAGAAGCCCGUUCUCUCAGGUCGGUUUUCAAACAGUUUACUUUUAAUUAUCCACAAAAUAAAGACCAAGUAUGCCGACAUCAAAGUUGUUACUGUUGUAAUAAUGAUGUUCGCAUAUUAACAGACGAGACGCUGAGCAAACCUGAUACGAAGACGAGGCGUCUUGCUGUAAAUACACAGUGUCACGCUGAACCACUGAUCGCUGGGUUUACACAGGAAAUGUACAAGCAGGCACUGACACCUGACCAGCGGUACUUUUAGAGGAAAGACGUUUCCUUGCACGCGACUGUUCAUGUUCUCGACCAAAACAAAUCUCUCUGGGGCUUGUUUAGUUUUUAUGCUUGAUCACUGUUGAGCAAUAAGUAAUUGCCACAUAAAAAGACACACACACGUUACGGCACGAUCUAGGAACCCACGAUAUUUGACUAAUAUCAGAACAUCUACCAAGACUUUCAUUUCCAGUCUGAUUUUCUAUUUGUUCAAUUUCCAAACUAAUAUUACAGAACAGAUAGCAUCUCAACCUCGAAAUUCACAUGGGUACAAUUUAAAGCAGGAAACAAAUAAAAAACAAAACGUAGAUCAAAUAAAUAAACUGAUAAUAAUGCCAAUAUUAAUAAUAAUAAGUUACAUGCCAGAUAUGAGAAAUUAACAUGGUUGUGUAUAUGACUAUUUGUAACUUUUGAAGAUUUUGCCUCAUUUUCUUUGCCCUUGUGUUGUUUUUUGUUUUGCU